GCCGGCGUGGCCAAAUGGUUACGGCGUUUCCUUCCUAGGCCGGGUUUUCGAAACCCGCGUUGGGGAUUUAGGUGAAGAUUGUGGGUUCGAUCCCCACCGUUGGUU
This 105-nucleotide transfer RNA is filed under the name Kwoniella mangroviensis CBS 8886. RNAcentral describes it as "tRNA-OTHER". It matches the Rfam family "tRNA". Rfam says of the family: Transfer RNA (tRNA) molecules are approximately 80 nucleotides in length. Lineage: Eukaryota; Fungi; Basidiomycota; Tremellomycetes; Tremellales; Cryptococcaceae. The record is from RNAcentral.